UACGAAGGGAGCUAGCGUUGUUCGGAAUCACUGGGCGUAAAGCGCACGUAGGCGGACUGUUAAGUCGGGGGUGAAAUCCUGGGGCUCAACCUCAGAAUUGCCUCCGAUACUGGCAGUCUCGAGUGCGGGAGAGGUGAGUGGAAUUCCCAGUGUAGAGGUGAAAUUCGUAGAUAUUGGGAAGAACGCCAGUGGCGAAGGCGGCUCACUGGCCCGUAACUGACGCUGAGGUGCGAAAGCGUGGGGAGCAAACAGG
RNAcentral lists this ribosomal RNA (253 nucleotides) under uncultured bacterium. Its description in RNAcentral is "partial 16S ribosomal RNA". It matches the Rfam family "Bacterial small subunit ribosomal RNA", at positions 524 to 776 of the family's 1533-position model. The record is from RNAcentral.